UACGGAGGGGGCAAGCGUUAUCCGGAUUUACUGGGUGUAAAGGGAGCGUAGACGGCGAUGCAAGUCUGAAGUGAAAGGCGGGGGCCCAACCCCCGGACUGCUUUGGAAACUGUAUGGCUGGAGUGCAGGAGAGGUAAGUGGAAUUCCUAGUGUAGCGGUGAAAUGCGUAGAUAUUAGGAGGAACACCAGUGGCGAAGGCGGCUUACUGGACUGUAACUGACGUUGAGGCUCGAAAGCGUGGGGAGCAAACAGG
This 253-nucleotide ribosomal RNA is filed under the name uncultured bacterium. RNAcentral describes it as "partial 16S ribosomal RNA". It matches the Rfam family "Bacterial small subunit ribosomal RNA", at positions 524 to 776 of the family's 1533-position model. The record is from RNAcentral.